GAACGCUGGCGGCAGGCCUAACACAUGCAAGUCGAGCGGAAACGAGUUAUCUGAACCUUCGGGGAACGAUAACGGCGUCGAGCGGCGGACGGGUGAGUAAUGCCUAGGAAAUUGCCCUGAUGUGGGGGAUAACCAUUGGAAACGAUGGCUAAUACCGCAUGAUGCCUACGGGCCAAAGAGGGGGACCUUCGGGCCUCUCGCGUCAGGAUAUGCCUAGGUGGGAUUAGCUAGUUGGUGAGGUAAGGGCUCACCAAGGCGACGAUCCCUAGCUGGUCUGAGAGGAUGAUCAGCCACACUGGAACUGAGACACGGUCCAGACUCCUACGGGAGGCAGCAGUGGGGAAUAUUGCACAAUGGGCGCAAGCCUGAUGCAGCCAUGCCGCGUGUGUGAAGAAGGCCUUCGGGUUGUAAAGCACUUUCAGUCGUGAGGAAGGUAGUGUAGUUAAUAGCUGCAUUAUUUGACGUUAGCGACAGAAGAAGCACCGGCUAACUCCGUGCCAGCAGCCGCGGUAAUACGGAGGGUGCGAGCGUUAAUCGGAAUUACUGGGCGUAAAGCGCAUGCAGGUGGUUUGUUAAGUCAGAUGUGAAAGCCCGGGGCUCAACCUCGGAAUAGCAUUUGAAACUGGCAGACUAGAGUACUGUAGAGGGGGGUAGAAUUUCAGGUGUAGCGGUGAAAUGCGUAGAGAUCUGAAGGAAUACCGGUGGCGAAGGCGGCCCCCUGGACAGAUACUGACACUCAGAUGCGAAAGCGUGGGGAGCAAACAGGAUUAGAUACCCUGGUAGUCCACGCCGUAAACGAUGUCUACUUGGAGGUUGUGGCCUUGAGCCGUGGCUUUCGGAGCUAACGCGUUAAGUAGACCGCCUGGGGAGUACGGUCGCAAGAUUAAAACUCAAAUGAAUUGACGGGGGCCCGCACAAGCGGUGGAGCAUGUGGUUUAAUUCGAUGCAACGCGAAGAACCUUACCUACUCUUGACAUCCAGAGAACUUUCCAGAGAUGGAUUGGUGCCUUCGGGAACUCUGAGACAGGUGCUGCAUGGCUGUCGUCAGCUCGUGUUGUGAAAUGUUGGGUUAAGUCCCGCAACGAGCGCAACCCUUAUCCUUGUUUGCCAGCGAGUAAUGUCGGGAACUCCAGGGAGACUGCCGGUGAUAAACCGGAGGAAGGUGGGGACGACGUCAAGUCAUCAUGGCCCUUACGAGUAGGGCUACACACGUGCUACAAUGGCGCAUACAGAGGGCGGCCAACUUGCGAAAGUGAGCGAAUCCCAGAAAGUGCGUCGUAGUCCGGAUUGGAGUCUGCAACUCGACUCCAUGAAGUCGGAAUCGCUAGUAAUCGUGGAUCAGAAUGCCACGGUGAAUACGUUCCCGGGCCUUGU
RNAcentral lists this ribosomal RNA (1374 nucleotides) under Vibrio sp. S2725. RNAcentral describes it as "bacterial SSU rRNA". It matches the Rfam family "Bacterial small subunit ribosomal RNA", at positions 31 to 1384 of the family's 1533-position model. The record is from RNAcentral. Lineage: Bacteria; Pseudomonadati; Pseudomonadota; Gammaproteobacteria; Vibrionales; Vibrionaceae.